AAUUUGCGUUAGGGAUAGAAGUGACAUCUCCCGAUUUAGAAAAACAAGGCUUUUUUAGCCGUAGUUUUUAUUAAUUGGGAAAUAACGGAUAGCCCGACCGCCU
This 103-nucleotide unclassified non-coding RNA is filed under the name Flavobacterium degerlachei. Its description in RNAcentral is "Flavo-1 RNA". The record is from RNAcentral. Lineage: Bacteria; Pseudomonadati; Bacteroidota; Flavobacteriia; Flavobacteriales; Flavobacteriaceae.